AAGAGCCGUGUGCGGGAAUACUGCAUGCACGGUUCUGUGAGGGGCGGCGGGAGUAAUCCUGCCGUCUACUCGAC
This is a non-coding RNA of Planctomycetes bacterium RBG_16_41_13, 74 nucleotides long. NCBI's taxonomy places the organism in Bacteria, Pseudomonadati, Planctomycetota. The record is from Rfam.